RNAcentral lists this ribosomal RNA (322 nucleotides) under uncultured eukaryote. RNAcentral describes it as "partial 18S ribosomal RNA". It matches the Rfam family "Eukaryotic small subunit ribosomal RNA", at positions 1470 to 1796 of the family's 1831-position model. The record is from RNAcentral.
CCCUUAGAUGUUCUGAGCCGCACGCGUGCUACACUGAGUGGAUCAGCGGGUCAGGUUGCGCGAAAGCGUUUCCUAAUCUUUAAAUCCGCUCGUGAUGGGGAUUGACGGUUGCAAUUUUCUGUCAUGAACGAGGAAUACCUUGUAAGCGCGGGUCAUCAUCCCGCGCUGAGUACGUCCCUGCCCUUUGUACACACCGCCCGUCGCUCCUACCGAUUGAGUGAUCCGGUGAGGCUUUGGGAUCUGAGCGGAAAGAGCGUUUCGCUGUUUCUGCUCGGAAAACUCAGUCGAACCUUAUCAUUUAGAGGAAGGAGAAGUCGUAACA